GAUGAAGAACGUAGCGAAAUGCGAUAAGUAGUGUGAAUUGCAGAAUUCAGUGAAUCAUCGAAUCUUUGAACGCACAUUGCGCCCCUCGGUAUUCCGUGGGGCAUGCCUGUUCGAGCGUCAUCUACACCCUCAAGCUCUGCUUGGUGUUGGGCGUCUGUCCCACCUCCGCGCGUGGACUCGCCCCAAAUUCAUUGGCAGCGGUCCUUGCCUCCUCUCGCGCAGCACAUUGCGCUUCUCGAGGGGCUACGGCUCGCGUCCAACAAGCACAUUUACCGUCUUUGACCUCGGAUCAGGUAGGGAUACCCGCUGAACUUAAGCAUAUCAAUAAGCGGAGGA
Molecule: unclassified non-coding RNA, 336 nt
Filed under: soil metagenome
Description: partial contains 5.8S ribosomal RNA, internal transcribed spacer 2, and large subunit ribosomal RNA
Rfam family: 5.8S ribosomal RNA (bases 1-120)
Source: RNAcentral